Molecule: ribosomal RNA, 501 nt
Filed under: uncultured bacterium
Lineage: Bacteria
Description: partial 16S ribosomal RNA
Rfam family: Bacterial small subunit ribosomal RNA
Source: RNAcentral
AUUGAACGCUGGCGGCAGGCUUAACACAUGCAAGUCGAGCGGGGGAAGGUAGCUUGCUACCGGACCUAGCGGCGGACGGGUGAGUAAUGCUUAGGAAUCUGCCUAUUAGUGGGGGACAACAUCUCGAAAGGGAUGCUAAUACCGCAUACGUCCUACGGGAGAAAGCAGGGGAUCUUCGGACCUUGCGCUAAUAGAUGAGCCUAAGUCGGGUUAGCUAGUUGGUGGGGUAAAGGCAUACCAAGGCGACGAUCUGUAGCGGGUCUGAGAGGAUGAUCCGCCACGCUGGGACUGAGACACGGCCCAGACUCCUACGGGAGGCAGCAGUGGGGAAUAUUGGACAAUGGAGGGAACCCUGAUCCAGCCAUGCCGCGUGUGUGAAGAAGGCCUUAUGGUUGUAAAGCACUUUAAGCGAGGAGGAGGCUACUUUAGUUAAUACCUAGAGAUAGUGGACGUUACUCGCAGAAUAAGCACCGGCUAACUCUGUGCCAGCAGCCGCGGUAA